CCGCGAGACCGCUCCGUCUGCAGAUCCCGGCGGGGGGGGCGGCGCCGGGACCCCCCCUGGGCCCCGUCCUGGGGCAGGUGGGGAUUUCCGGGGCUCUUUGAGGCCCUUCUUGAGGCUUGUUGGGGCUCGUGGGGGCCUAUCGAGGCCUGUCGGGGCCUAUCGGGGCCUAUUGAGGUGUAUGGGAGGCUGUUGAGGCCUGUUGGGGCCUGUUGGGGCCUAUUGAAACCUAGGGGGGCCUAUUGAGGUGUAUGGGAGGCUGUUGAGGCCUAUCGAGGCCUAUCGGGGCCUAUUGAAACCUAGGGGGGUCUAUUGGGGCCUAUCAGGACCUAUCGAGGCCUAUCAGGACCUAUCGAGGCCUAUUGAAACCUAGGGGGGUCUAUUGAGGCCUAUCAGGACCUAUCGAGGCCUAUCAGGACCUAUCGAGGCCUGUCGGGACCUAUUGGGGCUUAUUGAGGCCUAUGGAGGCUUAUGGGGGCCUACUGGGGUGUAUCGGGGUCUAUUGCGGUCUGUCGAGCCUAUCGAAGCCUAUUGAGGCCUAUCGGGACCUGUCGAGGCCUGUCGAGGCCUAUCGGGGCCUAUUGGGGCCUAUCGAGGCCUAUUGGGGUCUAUUGGGGCCUAUUGGGACCUAUCGCGGCCUAUUGAGGCCUAUUGGGGUCUAUCAAGGCCUAUUGGGGCUUAUUGAGAACUAUCGCGGCCUAUCGCGGCCUAUCAAGGUCUAUUGGGGUCUAUCGAGGCCUAUUGAGGCCUAUUGGGGUCUAUUGGGGCCUAUUGGGGCCUAUCGCGGCCUAUCGAGGCCUAUAGGGUCCUAUCGAGGCCUAUUGAGGCCUAUUGGGGUCUAUUG
RNAcentral lists this long non-coding RNA (841 nucleotides) under Numida meleagris (helmeted guineafowl). RNAcentral describes it as "lncRNA (ENSNMEG00000003872.1)". The record is from RNAcentral. Lineage: Eukaryota; Metazoa; Chordata; Aves; Galliformes; Numididae.